AGUCGAGCGGAUGAGUGGAGCUUGCUCCAUGAUUCAGCGGCGGACGGGUGAGUAAUGCCUAGGAAUCUGCCUGGUAGUGGGGGAUAACGUUCCGAAAGGAACGCUAAUACCGCAUACGUCCUACGGGAGAAAGCAGGGGACCUUCGGGCCUUGCGCUAUCGGAUGAGCCUAGGUCGGAUUAGCUAGUUGGUGAGGUAAUGGCUCACCAAGGCGACGAUCCGUAACUGGUCUGAGAGGAUGAUCAGUCACACUGGAACUGAGACACGGUCCAGACUCCUACGGGAGGCAGCAGUGGGGAAUAUUGGACAAUGGGCGAAAGCCUGAUCCAGCCAUGCCGCGUGUGUGAAGAAGGUCUUCGGAUUGUAAAGCACUUUAAGUUGGGAGGAAGGGUUGUACGUUAAUACCGUGCAAUUUUGACGUUACCGACAGAAUAAGCACCGGCUAACUUCGUGCCAGCAGCCGCGGUAAUACGAAGGGUGCAAGCGUUAAUCGGAAUUACUGGGCGUAAAGCGCGCGUAGGUGGUUCGUUAAGUUGGAUGUGAAAGCCCCGGGCUCAACCUGGGAACUGCAUCCAAAACUGGCGAGCUAGAGUACGGUAGAGGGUGGUGGAAUUUCCUGUGUAGCGGUGAAAUGCGUAGAUAUAGGAAGGAACACCAGUGGCGAAGGCGACCACCUGGACUGAUACUGACACUGAGGUGCGAAAGCGUGGGGAGCAAACAGGAUUAGAUACCCUGGUAGUCCACGCCGUAAACGAUGUCAACUAGCC
This 766-nucleotide ribosomal RNA is filed under the name Ectopseudomonas oleovorans. RNAcentral describes it as "bacterial SSU rRNA". It matches the Rfam family "Bacterial small subunit ribosomal RNA", at positions 60 to 821 of the family's 1533-position model. Lineage: Bacteria; Pseudomonadati; Pseudomonadota; Gammaproteobacteria; Pseudomonadales; Pseudomonadaceae. The record is from RNAcentral.